Molecule: long non-coding RNA, 400 nt
Organism: Lepus europaeus (European hare)
Lineage: Eukaryota; Metazoa; Chordata; Mammalia; Lagomorpha; Leporidae
Exons: 3
Source: RefSeq, a predicted model, not a curated record
CCGCCCCAAGCUGGAGGGCACCACCGGAGAUUAAGCCAGGGCAGCCUUUGGAGUCAAAAACGGGUCUGUGGUUCCCUGGGAUGCAGGUGCCUGCGUGAUCCCAGAAGGUACCCCCGCCCCUGUGCAGGUCCCGAGGACAAAGGUCUGGCGCUGUCCAGCCCCUCCCCCAGGCGGCCAGCCGGGAAAGCCUCUGUGGUGUCCAGGGACAGGACGGUGAAGGAGAAAGUCUUAAGGUCCUUGUCGUGGAAGUGUUUACAAUGAAUGUACUGCUGCUGUUGAAAGAUAGGGAGUUCAGCGGUGCAUCCAGCUUCAAGCAAGGUCAAAUCAAGGGACUCAAAUUACGUCAUCAAGACACCAUCUCUUGCAGGCUCAACCAUCCUGAACCAGUAGCUGUGGCCAA